RNAcentral lists this ribosomal RNA (388 nucleotides) under uncultured bacterium. RNAcentral describes it as "bacterial SSU rRNA". It matches the Rfam family "Bacterial small subunit ribosomal RNA", at positions 29 to 416 of the family's 1533-position model. The record is from RNAcentral.
AUUGAACGCUGGCGGAAUGCUUUACACAUGCAAGUCGAGCGGCAGCGCGGGGGCAACCCUGGCGGCGAGCGGCGAACGGGUGAGUAACAUAUCGGAACGUACCCCGUCGUGGGGGAUAACACAGCGAAAGCUGUGCUAAUACCGCAUACGACCUGAGGGUGAAAGCGGGGGAUCGCAAGACCUCGCGCGAUGGGAGCGGCCGAUAUUGGAUUAGCUUGUUGGUGAGGUAAAGGCUCACCAAGGCGACGAUCCGUAGCUGGUCUGAGAGGACGACCAGCCACACUGGAACUGAGACACGGUCCAGACUCCUACGGGGAGGCAGCAGUGGGGAAUUUUGGACAAGUGGGGGCAACCCUGAUCCAGCCAUUCCGCGUGAGUGAAGAAGGCC